RNAcentral lists this long non-coding RNA (209 nucleotides) under Elaeis guineensis (African oil palm). RNAcentral describes it as "long non-coding RNA (EGUI_LNC058256)". The record is from RNAcentral. Lineage: Eukaryota; Viridiplantae; Streptophyta; Magnoliopsida; Arecales; Arecaceae.
CUUUUAAAUAGUAUGUUUCGGACCGGACUACCUCCUUGACUUCAUACGGGCCUUCCCAGUUUGAGGCAAGUUUCCCUUGAUUCUGAGGUUGUGAGGCAGUGGCUCGCCGUAACACCAGGUCCCCCGCUCUGAAAACUUUACUUUUGAUCCGGGAGUUGUAGUAGCGGGCUACUUUCUGUUUGUAGGCCGCCAUCCGAACUCGAGCCGUC